This 253-nucleotide ribosomal RNA is filed under the name uncultured bacterium. RNAcentral's name for it is "partial 16S ribosomal RNA". It matches the Rfam family "Bacterial small subunit ribosomal RNA", at positions 524 to 776 of the family's 1533-position model. The record is from RNAcentral.
UACGAAGGGGGCUAGCGUUGCUCGGAAUCACUGGGCGUAAAGGGUGCGUAGGCGGGUCUUUAGGUCGGGGGUGAAAUCCUGGAGCUCAACUCCAGAACUGCCUUUGAUACUGAGGAUCUUGAGUUCGGGAGAGGUGAGUGGAACUGCGAGUGUAGAGGUGAAAUUCGUAGAUAUUCGCAAGAACACCAGUGGCGAAGGCGGCUCACUGGCCCGAUACUGACGCUGAGGCACGAAAGCGUGGGGAGCAAACAGG